This 211-nucleotide long non-coding RNA is filed under the name Hordeum vulgare. RNAcentral's name for it is "long non-coding RNA (HVUL_LNC006973)". Lineage: Eukaryota; Viridiplantae; Streptophyta; Magnoliopsida; Poales; Poaceae. The record is from RNAcentral.
ACAUCAUACGGGUUUGUUUGACUAACUGUCAAUGGAUGGACGCUUGGCCACCAUGCAAGCCUUCUCUGGCCUUUAAUUUUGUACGAAGUCCUAUUUUGUAGAAAGAAUACACUGAUAGUUAGGUUAGUUGAUUAUGGUUCUGGGUUACUUAAUGUGGUAGUUAGCUUCAUUUUAUGGUUUGACUAAUGUAUACCAAUUAUUUGACAAUAAG